AGGGGUAUAGCUCAGUUGGAUAGAGCAGCGGUCUUCUAAAUCGAAGGUUAUGGGUUCAAAUCCCAUUUCCCCUG
RNAcentral lists this transfer RNA (74 nucleotides) under Candidatus Pinguicoccus supinus. It matches the Rfam family "tRNA". Rfam says of the family: Transfer RNA (tRNA) molecules are approximately 80 nucleotides in length. Their secondary structure includes four short double-helical elements and three loops (D, anti-codon, and T loops). Lineage: Bacteria; Pseudomonadati; Verrucomicrobiota. The record is from Rfam by way of RNAcentral.